UAUAUCAAAUUGGUUUGGAUUUAAGCAAAUUUGAUAUACUAUGUGUAUCUAGUAGGUGAUAAAAUAAAUGAUGAGCAGUAUAUAAAGUGUUUCUAUACCAUAUAGAGAGAGACAAGAAAAUUAGCCAAAGGCAGAGAAUGUUAAUAUGAAGUGGCUUAUUUUGAAUAUUCAGUCUGUUUUUUCUGGUAUGUGGCAAGUUUGGAGUGUGCAAGCAUUCUCAUUUUUGUUUUUUUUAAUUUGUUUUUGGUACCAGGGAUUGAACUCAGGACCUUGCGCUUGCGAGGCAGGUGGUGGCACCACUGAGUGAAAUCCCUGGCCCAAGCAUUCUCAUUUUUAAUUGCUUACAAUAAAUGUUUUUGUCAAGAAAGGGUAUUAAAAACAUACUGAAAAUAGCUCUGAGCACACUUUUAACUGCUACCAUAACUGCUAAACGUUGCUAUGAAGUUGGGAGACAUUGUUACAUCAGAGCAGUGGUUUCAUCAGAACAGUGACUUGGGUUCUGGAUGUGAAUUCUGUCACAGCUGGCAGUGAUGGCUUCGGAAAAAAACACUUGUCCUCCCUUCCCUAAACUGGCCAGCAACUGCUCUGCUGAGAAUCCCUAUAAGCCUGCCAAUGAGUGUGAAGAGAUUCAUUUGCCACAGUUUUCACUAAGCCACAAGAUGAUCCCACAACGUUAUGUUAUGCCUUGGAAAGAAAACAUGAAAUUCAGGAAUGUGAACCUAAAGAAAGCAGAAGUAUCUGGGAUCCAUACCGGCCCAUUAGAAGAGUCUCUGUUUCUGAAUCACAGAGAGAGGCUUUGCCAUGGGGAAAAUCAUAAAGUCAUCUUGAGGAAAAGCCCACUGGAGAUAAAAAUUGCGGAUAUGCCUCUGCAUUCACCUCUCUCCAGGUACCAGAGCACUGUAAUUUCUCAUGGCUUCCGGAGGCGGCUGAUCUGAUGACAGAGGCGGUACUGACACUGGACUGGGGAUGCAGCUCAGCAGGACACCUGUGUGGAGUGCAUGUGAAACCUUGGGUUCCAGCCCUAGCACCACAAAACAGAUAAAUAAAUUUAAAGUAAAGUGAUAAAA
Long non-coding RNA from Heterocephalus glaber (naked mole-rat), 1067 nucleotides. RefSeq annotates it as sperm microtubule inner protein 10. The record is from RefSeq and is a predicted model, not a curated record. NCBI's taxonomy places the organism in Eukaryota, Metazoa, Chordata, Mammalia, Rodentia, Bathyergidae.